CCUUUUUUCUUAAGCUACGCCUGCAUGUCUUCGAAUAAGAGGAAGCAAUUCUCUCUGAAUCUGCGAACGGCUCCGCAAACCAGUUGUAAACUAUAGCAAGCAAGCCCUUCCUGCCUUCACGGGCGGGUUGGGUAACACGGAAUAACCCUGGUAAUUCUGAGGCUAAUAACGAGAACGUAAUGCUUGGUCAACCGGGAAACUGGAAGGCCGAGAAACGUGCAGUUAUUUCGCGAAGCUUUACCGGGAAUGGGCGCACGUUUGGACCGCGCUAAAAACGGAUGCUCGCUGAACCCUUUCACGAGGGGGAUGCUUGUGCCCGAGCGGCUCUUGCUGUGUGCUUCUGACCUAUCAACUAGAUGGCAGCGUAACGGACAUGCUAUGGUAACAACGGGUACAGAGGAUUAGGGUUCGAUCCUGGAGAGUGGGCCUGAGAGAUUGCUCAUACUUCUAAGGAAGGCAGCAGGCGCGCAACGUUCCCCUUGGGCAAUGCUUGAGGGCGUUAGGGGACAUAUGAAUGCCUGCCCAAUGGGUGGGCAAUUCAAAUGGGUCUGUUGUAAACAGGCUCUCGAGUAACAAUUAGAGGACAAGUCUGGUGCCAGCACCCGCGGUAAUUCCAGCUCUAAUAGCAUACGUUAAAGUUGUUGCGGUUAAAACGCUCGUAGUCGGCUUCAGACCAUCAGAAACCAGAGCCGAGAACCUGGGUCUUGCUGUCUUUCGGGACGCGCCGGGCGAUUAGCGACGGUGGGCGGUGGUCAAUCGUGCUCUCUGCUGUACCUUCGGGUUCACAGGGCCGGUCUUCGGGUCGGUUCGGCGGGGAGUGCCAUUCACCAUGAAUAAACUGAUGUGCCUCAAAGCGGGUCAUUAGAUCUUGCACAGCGCAGCAUGGCAUGAAUCAAACUGGUCCUGCCCUUUCGCGGGGGUGGGGUUGGUAGAAGCGAUAGGGAUGUUCGAGGGUGACCGAAUUGCCGGGCGAGUGGUGAAAUACGUUGACCCUGGCAAGUCGACCAAAGGCGAAAGCAGUCAUCAAGGGCAUACCCGUUGAUCAAGAGCGAAAGUUAAGGGUUCGAAGACGAUCAGAUACCGUCGUAGUCUUAACUAUAAAUGAUACUGGCCAGAGAUAGGAUAUUUGUCCAUCUCGACUCUUCCUGGAUCUUGGAGAAAUCAGAGUCUUGAGUCUGGGGAGUUUGGCCAACC
RNAcentral lists this ribosomal RNA (1194 nucleotides) under Didymium squamulosum. RNAcentral describes it as "bacterial SSU rRNA". It matches the Rfam family "Eukaryotic small subunit ribosomal RNA", at positions 30 to 1136 of the family's 1831-position model. Lineage: Eukaryota; Evosea; Eumycetozoa; Physariida; Didymiaceae. The record is from RNAcentral.